RNAcentral lists this transfer RNA (67 nucleotides) under Marmota monax (woodchuck). RNAcentral's name for it is "tRNA.Ala". Lineage: Eukaryota; Metazoa; Chordata; Mammalia; Rodentia; Sciuridae. The record is from RNAcentral.
GGAUUGUGGCUCAGCGGUAAAAUGCUCGCCUAGCACAGGAGGGACCUGGGUUCAAUUCUCAGCACCA